This is a long non-coding RNA of Gavialis gangeticus (Gharial), 100 nucleotides long. RefSeq lists it as uncharacterized. NCBI's taxonomy places the organism in Eukaryota, Metazoa, Chordata, Crocodylia, Gavialidae. The transcript is spliced from 3 exons. The record is from RefSeq and is a predicted model, not a curated record.
GCUGUAUCUCUCCCCCUGCAAGCCUUCACCCCCAGUGAAGCUAUCUUGCAGGAUUCAGUUCAGUGGGGCUGGGUUCCUCCACCACUGAAUCAAAAACAUG